Molecule: transfer RNA, 77 nt
Filed under: bacterium
Lineage: Bacteria
Description: tRNA-Val
Rfam family: tRNA
About the family: Transfer RNA (tRNA) molecules are approximately 80 nucleotides in length. Their secondary structure includes four short double-helical elements and three loops (D, anti-codon, and T loops).
Source: RNAcentral
GGGCGCAUAGCUCAGCUGGGAGAGCGUCCGCCUUACACGCGGAAGGUUCGCAGGUUCGAGCCCUGCUGCGCCCACCA